AGCAGCCGCGGUAAUUCCAACUCCAAUAGCGUAUAUUAAAGUUGUUGCAGUUAAAAAGCUCGUAGUUGAAUUUCGGGAUCAAUAUAUCGGUCGUGCCUUCGGUAUGCACUGGUAUUAUUGAUUUCUACCUUCUGACGAACUAUGAUGUCAUUAAUUUGGUGUCAUGGGGAAUCAGGACUGUUACUUUGAAAAAUUAGAGUGUUUAAAGCAGGCACACGCUUGAAUACAUUAGCAUGGAAUAAUGAAAUAGGACGUUUGAUCUUAUUUUGUUGGUUUCUAGGAUCGACGUAAUGAUUAAUAGGGACAGUUGGGGGCAUUAGUAUUCAAUUGUCAGAGGUGAAAUUCUUGGAUUUAUUGAAGACUAACUACUGCGAAAGCAUUUGCCAAGGAUGUUUUCAUUAAUCAAGAACGAAAGUUAGGGGAUCGAAGACGAUCAGAUACCGUCGUAGUCUUAACCAUAAACUAUGCCGACUAGGGAUCGGAUGAUGUUAAUUUUUAAUGA
This 502-nucleotide ribosomal RNA is filed under the name uncultured Glomus. Its description in RNAcentral is "SSU rRNA". It matches the Rfam family "Eukaryotic small subunit ribosomal RNA", at positions 569 to 1074 of the family's 1831-position model. Lineage: Eukaryota; Fungi; Glomeromycota; Glomeromycetes; Glomerales; Glomeraceae. The record is from RNAcentral.